CAAAGAGCAAGAAGAAAAAGAAGAAGCAGUCUCAAAAGUUAAUUUUCCUCGUUCAAUGUGGGUUCGGAAAGUGGUUUUCACUGGUCGCGCCGUGGGUUUGUCGUCGUGUCAUCCAUAAAAGUUUUCAAUAAAUCGCGAGUGAUUUUCGGGAAAAAGGAAAAUUCGGGUGGAUUAUUGAGCUAAAUUGCGAUUUGCGGGAAGAAUUUCGAUCGUGCGAGCUCUUGCAAGCCGGAACUCAUCCGUGGCCACCGAGAGUGCGUGGUCCUCCGCGUAAAUUACGUAGUGGAAGCGAUUAUCUUCCGCUAAAUAAACAUAAAAUAAAUUUGCUAGAUUUGACUUCGAUAACUUCUUGUGACAGUGAAAAGUUUUUUUUUUUCAAAACAAAAAGUGCAUUUGAGUGAAGUGCUUCGAAGAUCGAUUGUCUACAAGGUUUUUUUUGGAAUAUCCAUCCGGUGAAGAUUAGCGCAGCGAAUCGAGAUAUCAUCUUUUAACCGAAAUUGACUAAAUCUGUUUGGAUUACCAAUACUAAAAUAUCGAUUCGCAAUCGCGACAUCCUCCCCCCGUCAGCUACGUGACACGACACAACCCACGGGAUUGGCCAGGAAAACCGGCUUGGCGCCAGUGUCCACUUUCGGUUCCGGUCCCCACUUGUGAAAGGGAAAAGUUUAACCAAAACCCAGAAAAAAAAACUAUCGCAGUAGGCGCGCGUGACAACUGCCAAACCCCCCCAGUGUGAAGCGAGAAAAAAGAAGAAGCAGCAGCCUGUCUGUGUGUCAAACUAAGACGAAGAAUAUUCGCGUUUGAGCCAGAACCAGUAUUGUUCCGGAUUCCGACCGGAUUAGCAGCGGGAGCAGCAGCAAAUUUGAAGUGUGCAAUCAAAAAAUCAAAAAAAGACACGGAAAAUAGAGAAAAAAAAUCCGUUAAAGUUUAGUGUGAACCGUUUCGUUUUUUUAGUUAUCUAGUUUUUCGUUUUAUCAAAUUGAAAUUGAAUAGUUUUAUACGAAACCCGCCCUCGGAAAAAAAACCCGUUGUGACCGCGAGCACGUGCGCGGUGUGAUUGAGGUCCGGUAGCAUCGGACCGGUCCGGCAGAAGAGGCUCGCCGUCGACUGACAGGGUCGAGCAGGAAGGAGGAAAUCAGCAAAAAAAAACAAACA
This is a long non-coding RNA of Culex quinquefasciatus (southern house mosquito), 1155 nucleotides long. RefSeq lists it as uncharacterized. The transcript is spliced from 4 exons. NCBI's taxonomy places the organism in Eukaryota, Metazoa, Arthropoda, Insecta, Diptera, Culicidae. The record is from RefSeq and is a predicted model, not a curated record.